This 253-nucleotide ribosomal RNA is filed under the name uncultured bacterium. Its description in RNAcentral is "partial 16S ribosomal RNA". It matches the Rfam family "Bacterial small subunit ribosomal RNA", at positions 524 to 776 of the family's 1533-position model. The record is from RNAcentral.
UACGUAGGGUGCAAGCGUUGUCCGGAAUUAUUGGGCGUAAAGAGCUCGUAGGCGGUUUGUCACGUCGGAUGUGAAAACCCGGGGCUUAACCCCGGGCCUGCAUUCGAUACGGGCUGACUAGAGUUCGGCAGGGGAGACUGGAAUUCCUGGUGUAGCGGUGGAAUGCGCAGAUAUCGGGAGGAACACCGGUGGCGAAGGCGGCCUUCUGGUCGGAUACUGACGCUGAGACGCGAAAGCGUGGGGAGCAAACAGG